This 252-nucleotide ribosomal RNA is filed under the name uncultured bacterium. RNAcentral's name for it is "partial 16S ribosomal RNA". It matches the Rfam family "Bacterial small subunit ribosomal RNA", at positions 524 to 775 of the family's 1533-position model. The record is from RNAcentral.
UACGGAGGGUGCAAGCGUUAUCCGGAUUCACUGGGUUUAAGGGGUGCGUAGGAGGGCAGGUAAGUCAGUGGUGAAAUCUCCGAGCUUAACUUGGAACUGCCGUUGAUACUAUCUGUCUUGAAUAUUGUGGAGGUGAGCGGAAUAUGUCAUGUAGCGGUGAAAUGCUUAGAUAUGACAUAGAACACCAAUUGCGAAGGCAGCUCGCUACACAUAUAUUGACUCUGAGGCACGAAAGCGUGGGGGAUCAAACAG